GACGUAGGGCGCGAGCGUUGUCCGGAUUUAUUGGGCGUAAAGAGCUCGUAGGCGGCUUGUCGCGUCGACCGUGAAAACUUGGGCUCAACCCUAAGCCUGCGGUCGAUACGGGCAGGCUCGAGUUCGGUAGGGGAGACUGGAAUUCCUGGUGUAGCGGUGAAAUGCGCAGAUAUCAGGAGGAACACCGGUGGCGAAGGCGGGUCUCUGGGCCGAUACUGACGCUGAGGAGCGAAAGCUAGGGGAGCAAACGGG
RNAcentral lists this ribosomal RNA (252 nucleotides) under uncultured bacterium. Its description in RNAcentral is "partial 16S ribosomal RNA". It matches the Rfam family "Bacterial small subunit ribosomal RNA", at positions 524 to 776 of the family's 1533-position model. The record is from RNAcentral.